UUCUUAAUUUUAGAAAUUGUUUUUUCUAUAAUUUGGAAGAUUCAAAGGGAAAUUAAAUUUUAAGACAAUGCUGUUCCCGCAACCGUAAGCUAUCACUGAUUUAGGUUUUUUGUAUAAACUCAAUGCCACUGAUUUUUGGGAAGGCGAAUAGAAAAAAGCAAGCUAGGAGAUAUGCCAAUAAGUAUUUACGAUU
This 193-nucleotide non-coding RNA is filed under the name Flavobacteriaceae bacterium. The record is from RNAcentral. Lineage: Bacteria; Pseudomonadati; Bacteroidota; Flavobacteriia; Flavobacteriales; Flavobacteriaceae.